ACGGGUGAGUAACACGUGGGCAAUCUGCCCUUCACUCUGGGACAAGCCCUGGAAACGGGGUCUAAUACCGGAUAUCACUUCCACUCGCAUGGGUGGGGGUUGAAAGCUCCGGCGGUGAAGGAUGAGCCCGCGGCCUAUCAGCUUGUUGGUGAGGUAACGGCUCACCAAGGCGACGACGGGUAGCCGGCCUGAGAGGGCGACCGGCCACACUGGGACUGAGACACGGCCCAGACUCCUACGGGAGGCAGCAGUGGGGAAUAUUGCACAAUGGGCGAAAGCCUGAUGCAGCGACGCCGCGUGAGGGAUGACGGCCUUCGGGUUGUAAACCUCUUUCAGCAGGGAAGAAGCGAAAGUGACGGUACCUGCAGAAGAAGCGCCGGCUAACUACGUGCCAGCAGCCGCGGUAAUACGUAGGGCGCAAGCGUUGUCCGGAAUUAUUGGGCGUAAAGAGCUCGUAGGCGGUCUGUCGCGUCGGAUGUGAAAGCCCGGGGCUUAACCCCGGGUCUGCAUUCGAUACGGGCAGACUAGAGUGUGGUAGGGGAGAUCGGAAUCCCUGGUGUAGCGGUGAAAUGCGCAGA
Molecule: ribosomal RNA, 578 nt
Filed under: uncultured bacterium
Lineage: Bacteria
Description: bacterial SSU rRNA
Rfam family: Bacterial small subunit ribosomal RNA
Source: RNAcentral